This 493-nucleotide ribosomal RNA is filed under the name uncultured bacterium. RNAcentral describes it as "partial 16S ribosomal RNA". It matches the Rfam family "Bacterial small subunit ribosomal RNA", at positions 30 to 523 of the family's 1533-position model. The record is from RNAcentral.
AUUGAACGCUGGCGGCAUGCUUUACGCAUGCAAGUCGAACGGUAACAGGUUAAGCUGACGAGUGGCGAACGGGUGAGUAAUGCAUCGGAACGUGCCCGAUCGUGGGGGAUAACGCAGCGAAAGCUGCGCUAAUACCGCAUACGAUCUGAGGAUGAAAGCGGGGGCCCGUAAGGCCUCGCGCGAUCGGAGCGGCCGAUGUCAGAUUAGGUAGUUGGUGGGGUAAAGGCCCACCAAGCCGCCGAUCUGUAGCUGGUCUCAGAGGACGACCAGCCACACUGGGACUGGGCCACGGCCCAGACUCCUACGUGAGGCAGCAAUGGGGAAUUUUGGACAAUGGGCGAAAGACUGAUCCAGCAAUGCCGCGUGUAGGAAGAAGGCCUUCGGGUUGUAAACUGCUUUUGUACGGAACGAAACGGCCCUUUCUAAUACAGGGGGCUAAUGACGGUACCGUAAGAAUAAGCACCGGCUAACUACGUGCCAGCCGCCGCGGUAA